Long non-coding RNA from Lonchura striata (white-rumped munia), 420 nucleotides. The record is from Ensembl. Lineage: Eukaryota; Metazoa; Chordata; Aves; Passeriformes; Estrildidae.
GGUGCUGGUUUUGGGGUCUCUGAGGGAAUUUGAGGGGGGCAGUAAGAGCUUUAAGAGAUGAUCUGGGGGCAGUUUUGGGGUGCCCUGCAGGGGUUGGGGCAAUUCUGGGGUCCCCUGGCAGUUUUGGGGUCCCCUGGCAGUUUUGGGGGGUCUGUUCUGUACCCCGGGCAGUUUUGGGGUCCCUGGGCACGUUUGGAGUGCCUGGACAGUUCUGGGGGUCCCCGGGCAGGUUUGGGGCUGUUCACCAGGGAGGUUUGGGGUGCCCUGGGCAGUUUUGGGGUGCCCUGGGCAGUUUUGGGGUGCCCUGGGCAGGUUCAGGGUCCCUGGGCAUUUCUGGGGUCCCCGGGCAGUUUUGGGGUCCCCGGGCAGUUUUGGGGUGCCCGGGCAGUUUUGGGGUGCCCCAUCAGUUUCGGGGUGCCC